GAUGAACGCUGGCGGCGUGCCUAAUACAUGCAAGUCGAGCGAACAGACGAGGAGCUUGCUCCUCUGACGUUAGCGGCGGACGGGUGAGUAACACGUGGAUAACCUACCUAUAAGACUGGGAUAACUUCGGGAAACCGGAGCUAAUACCGGAUAAUAUAUUGAACCGCAGGGUUCAAGAGUGAAAGAGGGUUUUGCUGUCACUUAAAGGUGGACCCGGCCCGCAUUAGCUGGUUGGUAGGGAACGGGCUCACCAAGGAACCGUGGGGAACCCGCCCGAGAGGGGGAUACCGCCCACUGGAACUGGGGCACGGUCCACACUCCCACGGGCGGGCGCAGUAGGGAAUCUUCCGCGAUGGGCGAAAGGCUGACGGAGCAACCCCGCGUGAGUGAUGAAGGUCUUCGGAUCGUAAAACUCUGUUAUUAGGGAAGAACAAAUGUGUAAGUAACUAUGCACGUCUUGACGGUACCUAAUCAGAAAGCCACGGCUAACUACGUG
This 496-nucleotide ribosomal RNA is filed under the name uncultured bacterium. Its description in RNAcentral is "partial 16S ribosomal RNA". It matches the Rfam family "Bacterial small subunit ribosomal RNA", at positions 28 to 507 of the family's 1533-position model. The record is from RNAcentral.